RNAcentral lists this long non-coding RNA (266 nucleotides) under Homo sapiens (human). RNAcentral's name for it is "non-protein coding lnc-PDCL3-4:1". The record is from RNAcentral. Lineage: Eukaryota; Metazoa; Chordata; Mammalia; Primates; Hominidae.
UUAAUUCAUUUAACUAACAAAUGUGCAUGCGUAUGCGUUUGCGUGUGUGUGUGUGUGUGUGUGUGUGUGUGUGUAAAGACAGCAUUAGAGAGAGACAAUAUGAGUCUGCUACCCACUGGGGACACAGCAACGAAUAAAACAGAAUCUCUUCCCUGGGAGUCAGUGCUGCUGGAGCCAUGCCAGGAAACAGGGCCAAGGAUGGGAUUGGUGAUCCAUGCAGGACCACUGGGUUUUAUUCUGAGAAGACAGGGAGCUGUUGGAGGGCU